This is a long non-coding RNA of Homo sapiens (human), 702 nucleotides long. Ensembl annotates it as serine protease 30, pseudogene. Its record names the gene PRSS30P. The record is from Ensembl. NCBI's taxonomy places the organism in Eukaryota, Metazoa, Chordata, Mammalia, Primates, Hominidae.
GGGGCUUCCACAUCGCAGCCCAGUAGGGUGGACUGACCGGUCUUCUGACCUCUGGCUCCUUGGAGGGACUGGCCUGAGGUGGGCCCUGGCAUCCCCAGCCUCCUCUAAACCACCUCCCUGGAACAUGCGGGACAGGAGCCCAAGCGGCAUCUGAGGAGGGCGGGUUCUGCCAGGCACAGAGGGCUCCAGCGUGAUUGCCACUGGUUAAUGACCUGCCACCCCCGCCCCCCCAACCUCUGGUGCCGUCCAAGGACUCUGACCCCAGUGCAGUGUCUGUAGGGAAGAGGAGCCAUGGGGCUUCGGGCAGGCCCCAUCCUGCUUCUGCUGCUGUGGCUGCUGCCAGGGUGACUCCGGGGGGCCGCUGGUCUGCCCCAUCAAUGAUACGUGGAUCCAGGCCGGCAUUGUGAGCUGGGGAUUCGGCUGUGCCCGGCCUUUCCGGCCUGGUGUCUACACCCAGGUGCUAAGCUACACAGACUGGAUUCAGAGAACCCUGGCUGAAUCUCACUCAGGCAUGUCUGGGGCCCGCCCAGGUGCCCCAGGAUCCCACUCAGGCACCUCCAGAUCCCACCCAGUGCUGCUGCUUGAGCUGUUGACCGUAUGCUUGCUUGGGUCCCUGUGAACCAUGAGCCAUGGAGUCCGGGAUCCCCUUUCUGGUAGGAUUGAUGGAAUCUAAUAAUAAAAACUGUAGGUUUUUUAUGUGUA